This 489-nucleotide ribosomal RNA is filed under the name uncultured bacterium. Its description in RNAcentral is "partial 16S ribosomal RNA". It matches the Rfam family "Bacterial small subunit ribosomal RNA", at positions 30 to 507 of the family's 1533-position model. The record is from RNAcentral.
AUUGAACGCUGGCGGCAGGCCUAACACAUGCAAGUCGAACGGUAACAGGAAGAAGCUUGCUUCUUUGCUGACGAGUGGCGGACGGGUGAGUAAUGUCUGGGAAACUGCCUGCUGGAGGGGGAUAUCUACUGGAAACGGUAGCUAAUACCGCAUAACGUCGCAAGACCAAAGAGGGGGACCUUCGGGCCUCUUGCCAUCGGAUGUGCCAGAUGGGAUUAGCUAGUAGGUGGGGUAACGGCUCACCUAGUCGACGAUCCCUAGCUGGUCUGAGAGGAUGACCAGCCACACGGGAACUGAGACACGGUAGAGACUCCUACGGGAGGCAGCAGUGGGGAAUAUUGCACAAUGGGCGCAAGCCUGAUGCAGCCAUGCCGCGUGUAUGAAGAAGGCCUUAGGGUUGUAAAGUACUUUCAGCGGGGAGGAAGGGAGUAAAGUUAAUACCUGUGCUCAUUGACGGUACCCGCAGAAGAAGCACCGGCUAACUCCGUG